Bombyx mori (domestic silkworm) is the source of this 1098-nucleotide long non-coding RNA. RefSeq lists it as uncharacterized. Lineage: Eukaryota; Metazoa; Arthropoda; Insecta; Lepidoptera; Bombycidae. The transcript is spliced from 2 exons. The record is from RefSeq and is a predicted model, not a curated record.
GUGGGUCGCGUUUCCGAUCCGGUGGUUGAUUCUGCGAAGCACUGCACUGGCUAAGGUCAGUGUUAACAUCACUCCGGUUUGAGCCCCGUGAGCUCACCUACUAGUUCAGGUUAUGCUGAAAUAGCCUCUCAAGGCUAUCAGCUUAGGUAGGAAAAAAAAAUUAGGUAUAUGUUAGUUUACGUUAUACUUGCUAUUCAUCAACGAUAUUGCUAAUCACAAAAUGUAGACAGAAGUAUGGAAAUGACAGGAAUUAUUGGUGAUUAUAGGAUUAUAGGCUUCUCAUUUUAAACUUUGAUCGGCGAAAUUUUUGAAAAUGUACUUUCGUGCUUGACCUAGUUUUUCAGGACCUGGUUUCAAAUAUGGAAAAACUGACAGUAAAUUUAGAUUUAUGUUCUUGAAAACUAAAUCUUAUUUUACGUUGGACAAGUUACAAAGUGCUAUGGAGAUACCAACUGUGAAUGCGCAGUGAGGACAAACGGUGUGACGCAGUGGCGGGCGGCAUUCACAAAUCUCCGACUGCGGUGUUCACCCGCCUAAACCAACCUACAACCUAUACUAAAACCAAUAUAGUUACAUUUUCUUGCCUUUUACGGAUUCUAUUUUCCACUGUGCACGAGAGCUACUCCCCGUGUAAGGAUGACAUCACCCGCAAUUACUAAGUCAUCGGAAAAUCAAAAAGGCGAAAAAAUGUCACCCGGACAAACUACUGACGUCAAACCAACAAGCAAUGUUGCCGUCAAUAGGUCCACCACCACCUGUACAACACAGCAGUCUGAUCCAAUCACCUGGAUUCGAAUCUUUAAACUAACAGAUUUAAUGAUGAAACAAGGUUGUUGAACAAGACAAUUUGUAACAUUGAUGCCCAAAAGCAUUUUAGUAUAAUAAUAAUGACAAAGAAAUUUUAAUUCACAAUGUAGACAUUUUAUUUAGUACGUUUUGUGUAGUUUAGUUUAGUACUGUUAUUAUAUACAUAAUAGUUAAAUUAUACAUGCUUCUAUGUGUAGUUCCACAAUGUGGUACUUGAUUGAUGCCUUGUUUUUGUAAGCUAUUAGGCUUAGCGAAUAAUGUUAAUAAAUAUAAUUCACGUUGUUGCAAAAA